AGAGUUUGAUCCUGGCUCAGGACGAACGCUGGCGGCGUGCUUAACACAUGCAAGUCGAACGGAAAGGCCCUUCGGGGUACUCGAGUGGCGAACGGGUGAGUAACACGUGGGUGAUCUGCCCUGCACUCUGGGAUAAGCCUGGGAAACUGGGUCUAACACCGGAUAGGACCGCAUGCUUCAUGGUGUGUGGUGCAAAGCUUUUGCGGUGUGGGAUGAGCCCGCGGCCUAUCAGCUUGUUGGUGGGGUAAUGGCCUACCAAGGCGACGACGGGUAGCCGGCCUGAGAGGGUGACCGGCCACACUGGGACUGAGAUACGGCCCAGACUCCUACGGGAGGCAGCAGUGGGGAAUAUUGCACAAUGGGCGCAAGCCUGAUGCAGCGACGCCGCGUGAGGGAUGACGGCCUUCGGGUUGUAAACCUCUUUCAGUAGGGACGAAGCGAAAGUGACGGUACCUACAGAAGAAGGACCGGCCAACUACGUGCCAGCAGCCGCGGUAAUACGUAGGGUCCGAGCGUUGUCCGGAAUUACUGGGCGUAAAGAGCUCGUAGGUGGUUUGUCGCGUUGUUCGUGAAAACUCACAGCUUAACUGUGGGCGUGCGGGCGAUACGGGCAGACUAGAGUACUGCAGGGGAGACUGGAAUUCCUGGUGUAGCGGUGGAAUGCGCAGAUAUCAGGAGGAACACCGGUGGCGAAGGCGGGUCUCUGGGCAGUAACUGACGCUGAGGGGCGAAAGCGUGGGUAGCGAACAGGAUUAGAUACCCUGGUAGUCCACGCCGUAAACGGUGGGUACUAGGGUGGGGGUUUCCUUCCUUGGGAUCCGUGCCGUAGCUAACGCAUAAAGUACCCCGCCUGGGGAGUACGGUCGCAAGACUAAAACUCAAAGGAAUUGACGGGGGCCCGCACAAGCGGCGGAGCAUGUGGAUUAAUUCGAUGCAACGCGAAGAACCUUACCUGGGUUUGACAUGCACAGGACGUAUCUAGAGAUAGGUAUUCCCUUGUGGCCUGUGUGCAGGUGGUGCAUGGCUGUCGUCAGCUCGUGUCGUGAGAUGUUGGGUUAAGUCCCGCAACGAGCGCAACCCUUGUCCUAUGUUGCCAGCGGGUAAUGCCGGGGACUCGUAGGAGACUGCCGGGGUCAACUCGGAGGAAGGUGGGGAUGACGUCAAGUCAUCAUGCCCCUUAUGUCCAGGGCUUCACACAUGCUACAAUGGCCAGUACAGAGGGCUGCGAAGCCGUAAGGUGGAGCGAAUCCCUUAAAGCUGGUCUCAGUUCGGAUUGGGGUCUGCAACUCGACCCCAUGAAGUCGGAGUCGCUAGUAAUCGCAGAUCAGCAACGCUGCGGUGAAUACGUUCCCGGGCCUUGUACACACCGCCCGUCA
Molecule: ribosomal RNA, 1376 nt
Filed under: uncultured bacterium
Lineage: Bacteria
Description: 16S ribosomal RNA
Rfam family: Bacterial small subunit ribosomal RNA
Source: RNAcentral